This 401-nucleotide ribosomal RNA is filed under the name uncultured bacterium. Its description in RNAcentral is "bacterial SSU rRNA". It matches the Rfam family "Bacterial small subunit ribosomal RNA", at positions 362 to 775 of the family's 1533-position model. The record is from RNAcentral.
UAUUGCACAAUGGGCGAAAGCCUGAUGCAGCGACGCCGCGUGAGGGAUGAAGGCCUUCGGGUUGUAAACCUCUUUCAGUAGGGAAGAAGCGAAAGUGACGGUACCUACAGAAGAAGCACCGGCUAACUACGUGCCAGCAGCCGCGGUAAUACGUAGGGUGCGAGCGUUGUCCGGAAUUAUUGGGCGUAAAGAGCUUGUAGGCGGUCUGUCGCGUCUGCCGUGAAAAUCCGGGGCUCAACCCCGGACUUGCGGUGGGUACGGGCAGACUAGAGUGUGGUAGGGGAGACUGGAAUUCCUGGUGUAGCGGUGAAAUGCGCAGAUAUCAGGAGGAACACCGAUGGCGAAGGCAGGUCUCUGGGCCACUACUGACGCUGAGAAGCGAAAGCGUGGGGAGCGAACAG